RNAcentral lists this ribosomal RNA (261 nucleotides) under uncultured archaeon. RNAcentral's name for it is "partial 16S ribosomal RNA". It matches the Rfam family "Archaeal small subunit ribosomal RNA", at positions 748 to 1009 of the family's 1478-position model. The record is from RNAcentral.
CAGCCGUAAACUAUGCGCGUUAGGUGUAUCGGUGACCACGAGUCACCGAGGUGCCGAAGGGAAGCCGUGAAACGUGCCGCCUGGGAAGUACGGUCGCAAGGCUGAAACUUAAAGGAAUUGGCGGGGGAGCACCACAACGGGUGGAGCCUGUGGUUUAAUUGGACUCAACGCCGGGAAGCUCACCGGAUAAGACAGCGGAAUGAUUGCCGGGCUGAAGACUCUGCAUGACUAGCUGAGAGGAGGUGCAUGGCGUAGACGUCU